CUGUGGGACUGUCAUAUUCCUGAAAUUUUCAUGCUCCUCCAUGACGACAGACUUGGAGAUAACACAAGUGAAAGUAAUGCUAAACAAACACUAAAAAUAA
Molecule: long non-coding RNA, 100 nt
Organism: Thalassophryne amazonica
Lineage: Eukaryota; Metazoa; Chordata; Actinopteri; Batrachoidiformes; Batrachoididae
Exons: 3
Source: RefSeq, a predicted model, not a curated record